UGAAACCGUGUACGUACAAGCAGUGGGAGCACAGAGCAAUCUGUGUGACUGCGUACCUUUUGUAUAAUGGGUCAGCGACUUAUAUUCUGUAGCAAGGUUAACCGAAUAGGGGAGCCGAAGGGAAACCGAGUCUUAACUGGGCGUUAAGUUGCAGGGUAUAGACCCGAAACCCGGUGAUCUAGCCAUGGGCAGGUUGAAGGUUGGGUAACACUAACUGGAGGACCGAACCGACUAAUGUUGAAAAAUUAGCGGAUGACUUGUGGCUGGGGGUGAAAGGCCAAUCAAACCGGGAGAUAGCUGGUUCUCCCCGAAAGCUAUUUAGGUAGCGCCUCGUGAAUUCAUCUCCGGGGGUAGAGCACUGUUUCGGCAAGGGGGUCAUCCCGACUUACCAACCCGAUGCAAACUGCGAAUACCGGAGAAUGUUAUCACGGGAGACACACGGCGGGUGCUAACGUCCGUCGUGAAGAGGGAAACAACCCAGACCGCCAGCUAAGGUCCCAAAGUCAUGGUUAAGUGGGAAACGAUGUGGGAAGGCCCAGACAGCCAGGAUGUUGGCUUAGAAGCAGCCAUCAUUUAAAGAAAGCGUAAUAGCUCACUGGUCGAGUCGGCCUGCGCGGAAGAUGUAACGGGGCUAAACCAUGCACCGAAGCUGCGGCAGCGACACUGUGUGUUGUUGGGUAGGGGAGCGU
Molecule: ribosomal RNA, 689 nt
Filed under: Escherichia coli
Lineage: Bacteria; Pseudomonadati; Pseudomonadota; Gammaproteobacteria; Enterobacterales; Enterobacteriaceae
Description: partial 23S ribosomal RNA
Rfam family: Bacterial large subunit ribosomal RNA
Source: RNAcentral